Molecule: ribosomal RNA, 497 nt
Filed under: uncultured bacterium
Lineage: Bacteria
Description: partial 16S ribosomal RNA
Rfam family: Bacterial small subunit ribosomal RNA
Source: RNAcentral
GACGAACGCUGGCGGCGUGCCUAAUACAUGCAAGUUGAGCGCUGAGGGUUGGUACUUGUACCAACUGGAUGAGCAGCGAACGGGUGAGUAACGCGUGGGGAAUCUGCCUUUGAGCGGGGGACAACAUUUGGAAACGAAUGCUAAUACCGCAUAAAAUCUUUAAACACAAGUUUUAAGUUUGAAAGAUGCAAUUGCAUCACUCAAAGAUGAUCUCGCGUUGUAUUAGCUAGUUGGUGAGGUAAAGGCUCACCAAGGCGAUGAUACAUAGCCGAACUGAGAGGGGUGACGGCCAACAUGGGAACUGGGACACGGCCCAGCCUCCUACGGGAGGCGCCGGUAGGGAAUCUCCGGCAAUGGCCGAAGUCCGACCGGGGAAACGCGCGGUAGGGAAUGAGGGUCUUGGGUCCGAAAACUCCGUUUGUUGAGAAGAACGUUGGUGGGAGUGGAAAGCUCAUCAAGUGACGGUAACUACUCAGAAAGCGACGGCUAACUACGUG